CUGGCGGCGCGUCUUAAACAUGCAAGUCGUACGAGAACCCCGGUGCUGCAGUUGGGGGAGAGCGGCGAACGGGUGAGUAACACGUAGAUAAUCUGCCUUCAGGAUGGGGACAACCAUUGGAAACGAUGGCUAAUACCGAAUAAUAUAGCUUUUGCAUAAGCAAGAGUUAUCAACGGUGGGGACCGCAAGGCCUACCGCCUGAAGAUGAGUCCGCGGCCCAUUAGCUAGUUGGCAGGGUAAUGGCCUACCAAGGCGACGAUGGGUAGCCGGCCUGAGAGGGUGAUCGGCCACAUUGGGACUGAGAUACGGCCCAGACUCCUACGGGAGGCAGCAGUUAAGAAUCUUGCGCAAUGGGCGAAAGCCUGACGCAGCGACGCCGCGUGAAUGAUGAAAGGCCUUCGGGUUGUAAAGUUCAUUAAGCAGGGAAGAAUAAGUGAGGUCUAAUACGCCUCAUGAUGACGGUACCUGUCUAAAGCCUCGGCUAACUACGUGCCAGCAGCAGC
RNAcentral lists this ribosomal RNA (503 nucleotides) under uncultured bacterium. RNAcentral's name for it is "bacterial SSU rRNA". It matches the Rfam family "Bacterial small subunit ribosomal RNA", at positions 36 to 518 of the family's 1533-position model. The record is from RNAcentral.